RNAcentral lists this ribosomal RNA (104 nucleotides) under Acanthosepion pharaonis. The record is from RNAcentral. Lineage: Eukaryota; Metazoa; Mollusca; Cephalopoda; Sepiida; Sepiidae.
UUGCGGCCAUAUCACGUUGAAACACCGGUUCUCGUACGAUCACCGAAGUUAAGCAACGUCGAGCUUGAUCAGUACCUGAGAUGGGUGACCGUUUGAGAGUAGCA